UAUUGAAUUGUUGAGACAUGAAAGGAAGCUUGAUUUUUAGAUCCCUAUCCUCGAUUGCUCCAACUACGCAUUUUAAAAAACACACAUGAUUACAUUUAUUAGUUUCCUCGAUAAGAAGACAUGGAGGACAGUGCUUACUAGUUGAGAUCCACCGGCAAUUGAAGUUGACGGUGUAAGGACAUCCAAGCCAUAGACUACCUAUAUUAUUAAGAUAAGGUAGGCAACUUCAACUCCAAGACGUUAAAUGUCGUCUUUAAUGGAGUAGAGCUCCAGGAAUUAAAGAGACUAUUGUUGUAGGCCAAUUUUGGCCCAAAUACAACCAAAUACUCACCCCAAUUUCAUCAGCCCAACAUCAUCAAACCCAAUCUAAACCAACAGCCCACCUAAACUAACCUACUAAACAUUUUCCAGCAAAGAAAAAACACUAGCCACCUCCCCACUUUCCUCUGACACCAGCCACCAUCACCUGCUCCACCAGUCACCCCCAUACCCUGCAAAAACAGAGCAAACAAGCAAGACGGGAAAAUAUGGCAAAAGUAAUAAAAAAAUUUGUAAAAGAUUACUAUAAAAAGCCAUUCAAAAAUGCUGUAAAAAGGGGGGUUUAUUUUUUUUUAAAAGAAAGAUUGUAACACAGAUAUUGGAAAUAAAAACGGAUACAAAAACAAAAAAAGAGAAGGAAGGUUCAAGAGGUUUAGUUUUGUUCUUCUUUUUUUUUUCCCUUUUUUCUUCUUUUUGUUCUCUGCUUACCUUGUUUUUUUCAUAUUUAUUCAUUGUUUUUUUUUCCUUUUCUUUUUUCAAGAAAACCUUUUUUUAACAAAGAAACAUAAAAAAUUUUAAAGUAGGCGUACCUAGGUUGCGCUCCUUCGCUGUACACGGCGGUCACCGCCGUCGUCGUUGGCGAUAGGGCGGGUCUCUAAGGAACCCAAUCGACAGAAAGAAAAAGGGGGAGGGGAAGAGAGCAUGGAAGUUUUUUUGUUUUUUUAAGAUUGGGGGUUGAAAAUGAAACACAAAAAAAAAUCUUUGUUUUUAAAUAAUGGUGUUGAAACGGCAUUAUUUUGUUUGGUGGGUGGGGUCUGUACACUUUCUCUAAAAGGGAAAUUUAUGCGUUUAGUCCUACUCUCUCGCAACCUCAUUCAAUUAACCCACAUUUUCUAUAUUCUUUUGUUUUUUAAAUUUGGCCCUCAGAUCUUGUUUGGUUUUCGUUUUGAUCCCUAAUUAAUUAUCCAAUAUUUAUACUUUUAUAUCCCGAAUUUUAAUUUGUUUUUAGCCAUGUCCUAAAUCUAUUUAAUUUAUUUAUUAACCUUUUUUUUAAAAUGUUUCAUUUAUAUGUUAUUUCAAAUAUUUUAUAUGUUGUUUAUUUACAUCAUUAUUGUAAAUAUUUUAUAUACAUAUUUUUUUGUACAUUUCCUAAUAUUUUCUUUUAUUGUAGAUAUUAUUAUUAUAUACUCUUAUUAUAUGCAUAUAUAUGAAGUAUCUUUUAUGUACAUAUUAUUUUAUAUUAUUAUUACCAAAUAUAUCAUUUUUUCUUAUUAUUAGUACAUGAUUUGUUUUUAUUUUCUUUUUUUGCAAAUGUCAUUAUUAUUGUUAUAAUAAUUUCUAGUAUUCCAUGUUAAAAUUUUUCAUUAAUGAUAUCAUUGUUUGCGUCGUUUAUCUAUUUUUAAAUUCUCACUUUAGAAAUAUUUUUUUCUUAUGUUUUAAUUAAUUUCAAUAAAUAAAGCAACGCGCCGAUUUAACAUUAAGUCGUAGAUUUCAUCGCUAUGUUGGGUGGAAUUUGUCAGCUCGUGCUAAAGACGGAACACCCUUCUAAAAAACCAAAAAAAAUAAAAACUAAAAUUUUUCGUCUUUUCAAUCGGAUCACGAUUAAAUAUUACAUUGAACUCGCAUUUUUGAAAAUCAAGACAACACGUGUUUAUAAGAUACCAAUUUUGGGCGUCGCGAGGGUGCUAAUACCUUCCCCGCGCGUAACCGACUCUCGAACCUUAUUUUUCUCUGGACUUUUGACGUAGACCUAAACUCGGCCUUCCUUUUGUUUUAAAAAAUAAAUCUAAUAGGUGUCCGAUCACACCUAGGAAAAAGGAUCGAUGGCGACUCCCUCUUUAUUUUAAAAUCAAACUUCAGUUUUCAAGUUUUCAAUAAAUCGCCACAAUUAGCGACCAAAUCUAAACAUUUUUACGUCGCUACAGCUGGCGACUCCGCUGGGGACUUCUAUUUUUGAGAGUCGAGUUGAAUUAAACGCGUGUUGUCAAAAUUUUCAAAUUUCCGUAUUCAAAUUAAUAUUUAAUCAUGAUCCUUAAGUUUUGUUUUCGAAAAAAAUCAUACAUACAUAUCUCCUAAUUUGUUUUAUCUUUUGUUUUUCAGCUUUAAGUUUUACAGUUUUAGUUUUGUAGUUUUAAAAUAAAUGAAAGGUUUGCAAGUUUCUCCCUACGCACCGUGCACUUGCAUUUCGCAUAACAUGAGCUCUCAACCCGGGCCCCGUCCGUUUAAGUGAAAGUAAACGCUACGCCUUCGUGGGUUAACUCGUCCCUCCGCACAGGCUAGUGAAUACUUUCGGGUUACAUACAACUUAUGCUUUCGUGAGUUAACUUGUCCCUCCGCAUAGGCAUAAGUAAAUGUAAUCCCUCGAAUUGAACUCGUGUGAUGGGCUAUGACCGAGGCUUCGUACUAAUCUUAGCAGAUGACAGUACGGACAAUUCGAGUACCUAUCUAGAACCAAAACCGCAUAUAAUGAACCAUACGAGCCACCUAACUAGAGCCAUGCUAAACCUCCAUCCGUUUAGUAGUCACCAAAAUAAGCGCACGGGAGGAACGCCUCUUGCCUUUUGCAUUUUCACUGUCUAUACGAAGGGGAUUGAGUCUGUUUAAUAAACUAGAUUUGGGUAAUUUGAUUCGUUCAAUUUUUCAUAUUUUUUCUGUCUGUAUUUAAUUACUAAUCAAGAUUAUUUGUCUUUGCCGUAUUGUUUUUCAUCAUGCAUUAUAGGCAUCAUAUUAGAAAGGUGUUGACUAAAGAUCGGUUGCCAAAAAAUGGGUUUUUAAUGGAAGAGUCAAUUAUACAAACAACCGAGGAAAAUGCCGUAGUCCGAGAUUGGUCUCUAAAAACUCAGAAAGAAAAAGGGGAUAGUCUAGUGGAGGGAUGUAUUGCCAAUUUGCCCGAGCACGUAACUGUAAAUGUUCGCCAGAAUAACCUUGAAGAUUUGGUUCGGGUUUGGAAUCAGUGGGACUCGGAUACUAGAGGUAUCUUCGCCGAGAGAUAUGGAGACAUAGCCAACUUGAUUGCUGUCAGCGUAGACGAACGAUUGAUCCAAGCCAUGGUUAGAUUUUGGGAUCCAGCCUACCACUGUUUUACUUUCAAUCAGGAAGACAUGACCUCGACUAUAGAAGAGUACACUGCUUUGCUCCGUGUCGAUAAUAUACAACCUUAUAAGAUAUAUGUGCAAGAGCCUAAGCCAAUGACCUUCAAGAAAAAGUUAGUAAGAGUGACAGACAUGACUGACGCGUGGCUCGAAAAAUAGAUAAAGAAGAAGAAUGAAACCAUUUGUAUCUCAUGGUCUUCCCUACGAGACUUGGUUCUAAACCAUCCCGACAUGUUGAAAAGGGUAAAUCUGUUCGCUCUGGCCAUUUACGGUUUGAUCAUCUUCCCGAAGGUCCUUGGACACAUAGAAGUUGCGGUGGUAGAUUUCUUCGAAAGAUUAAAACAAGGAAUCAACCCCGUCCCAACUAUCCUGGCCAAAACCUUCAGAUCACUAAGUAGCUGUAGGAAGAAAGGGGAAGGCCGAUUUAUCGGAUGCGCGCAGUUACUUAAUGUUUGGAUUCUGAGUCACUUCUGGAAAGUAGAGCGCGCACCGUUCCAUAUGUUUUCUAAAACAUUCUCCCCGUUAGAAGCUUAUCUCAAGAAAGAAUGGCCGAAGGAGAUCACUGAACAACACUGGGUCUCAGUCUUUUAGAAUCUUCGCGCCGAUGACGUAACUUGGAGAGCCCCGUGGAUACGCCCGUUAGUUCUGCUAUACAAGGUCAGAGAUCAAGAUUGGGUGCCACUACUCGGAUUAUGGGGAGGAGUCGGAUAUGCCCCAUUAUUAGUCCAAAGGCAAUUUUCUUCGCGGCAAUUCAUACCCGCCACUGGCGGAUUGGCACAAUCCGAGUUCGCUUUCGCGGGUGAAGGAUAUAUGAAGAAGGUCUGAGACAAUGCAAAAUCUUAGAAGAAAAUUCAUCUAAUGGAAUUGGCCUUAUAUGCUGAUACCCUAACUCAAGAUUACGACAUAUGGAGGAAGCAACGGAUAAAUAGUCAGCAGAUUUCAUUAACAACUCCACCGUCCAGAAUCCUUUCUCAGAGGAAAUGCCGUCUGAGCUAGAAAUAGCAAGACAAGAAUUUGAACGAGAAAAGGCCAAGAUGUCUCGGGACCUUAAUGGCCUUCAAGAAGAAAACUACCAAUUGAAGAUUGACAUUCAGAUUGAAAGAUCCAAAAUCGAGAAAGUGCAAAAAGAAGUUGAAGUCGUGAGAAAUGACUUAAGAGACCUCCAUCUGGAAAAUAAAAAGUUAAGAGGCACAAUGAAAAAUAGUGGGCUGGGCAAGUCAUCGGCAGAAUGGAAAGAGGAGAUAAGCAACAUUAAAGGAGGGAUGGAAUUUUGGAAAGGAAAAGCAAAGAAAGAGGAAGAAAAGGCUGCACAGGCUAUGAUAGAAUUGAGGAAGAAGAACGCCGAAUAUGAAGUAGUGUCUGCCGAGGUGAUGACUAGUCGAUCUAAACGUCAAGAACUAAAAGAAAGGAUACGAGAGUUAGAAGAUAUGCUGCAAGAUCGUCAACAACAGUUAGAUACUCUCUUGAAGGCUUUGGAAGAAAAAGAUUGUCAGUAUGAUAGAGACAUUCGUGCUUGCGAAGAGGGCCUCCAGGAAAAAAAAGGCAACUUAGCUAUUUGAUCAAUAAAGUUCGUGGGGUAGCCAUGCACGUGGUACAAUUAUCGGAAGAAGCUAAAAAUCUCAGUUACCAAUUCCCACCAAGCCAACGAUCGAGCAUAUCGAAAUUCCUAGAGCGAAUAAAGAAAUAUGGCGAUAUAGCUAGAAAGUUUGUGUAAUAGCUGAAUCAAAAAUGGCAAAAUGUUUUGUAAUGAACUCUUUUGAUGAAUGAAAUGCCUAAAUAGGGGCUAUCUUGAAAUCAACACCAAUUCCUUACAUGUCAUUCAUGACUAAUAUCCAUUUGACAUUCAAGCAUUCAUGCAUUUAUUCAUUCAUUCAUGGCAUAUCCCGUACUCAUUUGCUGAGGUUAAAAUGUACAAUUCGCAGUUGUAAUACUUCAAAUCUGGAACCACGCCACUCGUAUAGAACGCGUCGGCAAACUAGAACAAUGGAGGCUGAAUUCAAUGAAAGGAUUGAAAGAAUGGAAAGAAUCCAAAAGGAAUUACAAGAGCAGUUGGCUAGGUCACAGCAAGAGACGAGAGACUUAAUGGUGAGAUCACAAGAAGAAUCGCUCGAACAGAAGGAUCAAAUGGCCAAGAUGAUGGAGAUGAUGUCAGCUUUAGUUAAAAGAAAUGGACCCAUGCAGAGCCCUGACAUCGAGGAAUCUUGGUCAAGAGUUAAUCACAAUCAAGACUCGCUCUAUCCCCCUGGAUUCACUCCACCACACGCCCGCGCAGCACAAAGAGGAUACACCCAAGGAGAACCCACAGACCCAGAGCAACGGUCGGUGCCACAUACUCAUUUAGGGCAAGGAAUAUUCAUAUCAAAUUCUGGAGCUAAUCCCGCCAAUCCAAUUGUUCCAGAUUUGGACGAUCUAGCGGAAAUAGCCAGGUUGAGAACGGACGAUCAUGAGGCUUAAGAGAAGUAUAUGAGCUUAGAGGAAAGACUCAAAGCAAUAGAGGGUACUGAAGCUUUCUCUGCACUAAGUGCCAAAGAGCUCAAUUUGGUGCCCGAUCUAGUUCUGCCUCUGAAGUUCAAGGUGCUUGAUUUCGAAAAAUACGAUGGCACGAGAUGUCCAAAGGCGUAUCUUGUCAUGUUUUACCGAAAAAUAACUGGUUACGUGAAUGAAGACCAACUACUCAUACAUUGUUUUCAGGACAGUCUAGUAGGAUUGGCUCUUCGGUGGUACAACCAGCUUAGUAGGGAAAGGAUCCGAUCUUGGAAAGACUUGGCAUCAGUAUUCUGUGAGCAAUACAAGCAUGUAUCGGAUAUGGUACCAGACCGAAUGACUUUUCAAAUGAUGGAGAAAAAGCAGUCAGAAACUUUUAGACAGUAUGCGCAGAGAUGGAGGGAUGUCUCAGCCCAAGUGGAACCCCCAUUAACGAAAACGGAGAUAACCGUUCUUUUCAUCAACACUUUGAAAGCACCGUUUUAUGAUAAACUAGUGGGAAGUGCCACGAAAGACUUUGCGGAUAUUGUAAUAUCCGGUGAGCUUAUAGAGAAUACCGUUAAGAGCGGUAGAAUGGAAGGUCAAGAAAGUUCAAGAAGGGCAGCGCCCAUGAAGAAGAAAGAACCAGAAGCCUACAUGGUGGGAAUGGGAAGCCGUUAUGCCCCUAACCUUUAUUCAAACCAACCCCGACCUCAAAAUUAUCCUCCUCUGAAUUUCUAUUAUCCUCCUCAAACCCCUUACUACCGAGCACCACCUCCUUUCUACCCCGUAUAUGCCAUGAACAACCAAAGGCCCGUCACUACAUUCCCACAAAAUACAAUACCCGCCCAAGGUCAACCCAAAAAUGAGCAGAGGCCAGCAAAACCCUAUUCUGAGAAACCACAAUUUACCCCUAUUCCUGUGUCAUAUGGGGAGCUGUACCCAAAAAUUUUGGAGAAGCAAUUAAUAUCCCCGCAUUAUAUGGCACCCUUGAGGCCCCCAUACCCGAAAUGGUACGACCCAAACACUAGUUGUGCAUACUAUGCAGGAAACCAGGGACAUUCGACGGAAAAUUGCCUAGCCUUUAAGAGGAGAGUUCAAGGACUAAUUGAUGCGGAUAUCCUACGAUUUGAUAGUGCCUGUAAUGCAACUGGGAACCCGUUCCCUAACCAUACUGAAGGAAAUGUGAGCACAGUGGGGAAAGAAGAUGAAUGGCAAGUUAGAAGAUGUGUUUCAGAAAUAAAGACGCCUCUGCAGAAAAUCUGGGAGGCACUGGUUAAGAAUAGAUUGCUCUGUCACCUCGACGAUAAUCUCAAAAAAGAAUGUCAGGUUUUUUGUGAUUUUCAUGGAAUUGUAGGGCACGGCAUUCAAUCAUGUGAGGAAUUUAAAAGGUUAUUGCAAGACCGGAUAGAUAAUAAGGAGAUUGUGUUCAUUAAUCAAGGAGAGGCCAAUGAGAAAGAAGUAUGUGCCUCUGACAAUCAAUCGUCAAGUUGUCCGUAUAGCGCCGAUCGACCAUUCGUAAUUUAUUACGAUGCAAGGAAGGAACCGGUGAAACCAAAAAUGAUGAUUGAAGUACCGUCUCAUUUCCCUUACAAGGACAAUAAAUCAGUACCGUGGAAAUAACGUUAAUAUCGUCACACCUGAAGAUGAAAAACCCAAUGCCAUGACUGGAGGCGUCGGGGAAGUAGGUCAUUUCACUUGUAGUGGAAGAUGUUAUUCGAAGGAGGUGAAGAAGAACAGUGACUUGAAACAGAAAGGAAAAGCACCGAUGCACAUGACCAAAGAAAAGCAUGAAACUGUGCCUGAACAAGAAGCUAAAAAGCCUAUGGACGAGGAGGAAGCACAGGAAUUUUUAAAAUUUAUCAAGCACAGUGAGUACAACGUGGUAGAACAAUUAAGUAAGCAGCCAGCACGAAUCUCGGUAUUAUCUCUGCUGUUGAAUUCAGAACCAUACCGGAACGCUCUGCUGAAAAUGUUAAAUCAAGCUUAUGUGGCAAACAAUGUAUCCGUUGAAAAAUGGAUAGAUGGAUGAACAACUUGAAUGCGGAUAAUUUCAUUUCCUUUAGUGACGAUGAAAUAUCGCCCAAUGGUAGAGGCUCAGUGAAAGCAUUGCAUAUCACAACCCGUUGUAAGGGCUAUAUAAUAUCGAACGUGCUCAUCGAUAAUGGAUCGGCACUCAAUGUCAUGCCUUUGGCCACACUUUCCAAGAUUCCGAUGGAUUUGUCCUAUCUAAGGCCCUGCCAUUCUACAGUAAGGGCAUUCAAUGGAACAAGACGAGAAGUUAUGGGAAAACUCGAGAUCCCUCUAGAAGUGGGUCCCUACAUAUACAAUAUUGAGUUUCAAGUCAUGGACAUUACACCAUCAUACAAUUGUCUCUUGGGAAGACCUUGGAUCCAUUCUGCUGGAGCAGUACCAUCAUCCCUCCAUCAAAAGGUGAAAUUUAUCAUGGAUGGUUGUUUGGUCACUGUCUAGGGAGAAGAAGACAUUGUCGCAUCUAUCUCUGCUGAUGCACCCUACCUCGAAGUAAGCAAAGACGCAGUAGAAUGUUCCUUCCGAUCCAUUGAAUUCGUCAAUGCCACAUUCGUCGCUGAGGGAAAUAGAAUUCCCGCGCCAAAACUAUCGAGAAAUACCAAGAUGGGUGUCAAAUUGACUGUAGCAAAGGGAGCCCGAGCAAGGAAAGGUUUGGGAAGGUACCUGCAAGGAAUAGUCAGGGCUCUAAAGCAAGUACACCACAAGGCCCGAUACGAUUUAGGGUUCCAGUCGGACAUGCGUCAAAGAAGAAAGCAGUGGAAGUAAGAUCAGGAAAGAAGGAUCGCAAGAACACUAGGCCGAGAACCAGAAUGAGAGCCCAUGGAAUUCCCUCCUUUGUCAAGAAUAUUUACGUCUACAGGAAUGAUAUACCCAGGGCAGUAUAGUGCACAAAGCACAAUGUUAAUGAUCGAAGAGGGUUUUCAGAAUAUCAGUAUAAAUGUCAUUGACAAAGGAGCUGACGCGAGUAAAGACAUCUCAAAGAUACGCCCUUGUCCCCCGGGUUUCAUGUUAAACAAUUGGACUGCCCAGGAUCUUCUUGUAGUUUAUAAGUCUUCAGAGUAAUGCUCAAACGUUAACAUUCUGUUAUGUCCUCAGAUAUAAUAGAAUUCUUUUUGUAAGAGCUUGUAUUCGCUCUUUAUCAUUUAAAUGAAUAUCAAUGAAGAUGCAUUUUGUCACGAUUUUUUCGCAUUAUCACUAAUUCCAUAAUCAUUUUGUAGCCUAUCUUUACAAUUGCCUCACGUCAUACCAUAACAUUCAGUUUGUUGAUUUCAAUACUUAGAUGCCCCUCUAUAGUUUCCUUUUCCAUUCAACUUUCAGGUGCUCAGAUAUCAACAGCAUGAAUAAACCCGUUACGAGUUCUGAAAUCGAUUUUGAGAAGGCUAUUUGUUUAGGAGAAUUUGAAGUCGAAAAAAAUGCUGAAGACUAUGUCUCGUCUCCUGACUUGCUAAGAAUGGUGGAACAAGAGGAUAAAUAGAUUUUGCCUCAUCAAGAAUCUGUUGAAACAAUAAAUCUGGGAACUGAAGAAAGGAAGCAAGAAGUGAAGAUUGGGACUUCUAUUUCAGGGGGCAGCAGGCAUAAUUUGAUUGCUUUGCUCCGCGAGUACAAAGAUGUAUUCUCAUGGUCAUAUCAGGACAUGCCAGGAUUGGAAGAAGAUGUAGCGGUCUAUAAGCUCCCAUUGAAGCCAGAAUGUAAGCCUAUUCAACAAAAGCUAAGACGGAUAAGACUUGAGAUGUUGUUGAAGAUAAAAGGGGAAGUCAAGAAGCAAUUUGAUGUUGGUUUCCUACAAGCCUCCAAAUAUCCAGAAUGGGCGGCUAACAUAGUCCUGGUACCAAAGAAAGACGACAAAGUGCGAAUGUGCGUGGAUUAUCGUGACCUGAAUCGAGCAAGUCCUAAAUAUAAUUUUCCCUUACCACACAUUGAUACGUUGGUGGAUAACACAGCAAAACAUUCAUUGUUUUCUUUCAUGGACGGAUUCUCGGGGUAUAAUCAGAUCAAGAUGGCCCCUGAGGAUAUGGAGAAAACUACCUUCGUAACAAUGUGGGGAACAUUCUGCUACAAGGUGAUGCCAUUUGGGUUAAAGAAUGCUGGGGCAACAUAUCAGAGGGCUAUGGUGACGUUAUUCCAUGACAUGAUGCAUAAAGAAAUAGAGGUCUACGUCGACGAUAUGAUUGCUAAAUCCCGAGGGGAAGAAGAGCAUGUAGUGAACCUGAAGAAAUUGUUUGACAGACUGAGAAAAUUCCAACUAAAGCUCAAUCCGGCCAAAUGUAUGUUUGGGGCUACCUCUGGAAAAUUGCUGGGCUUCAUUGUCAGUGAAAGAGGUAUCGAGGUUGAUCCAGAUAAAAUAAAAGCUAUUCAAGAGUUACCACCUCCGCGCACGCCAAAGGAAGUCAGAGGAUUUUUAGGGAGGUUAAACUACAUCGCCCGAUUUAUCGCUCAACUUACCAACCAAUGCGACCCAAUCUUUCGACUCCUUCGAAAACAUAAUCUCGGAGAAUGGAACGAGGAGUGCCAAGUGGCUUUUGACAAGAUAAAACAGUAUUUGUCUAAUCCUCCAGUGCUAGUACCGCCAAUGCCGGGAAGACCAUUGAUAUUGUAUUUGACUGUGUUCGAGAAUUCAAUGGGUUGCGUACUGGGGCAACACAACGAGUCAGGAAAGAAAGAAAAGGCGAUCUACUACUUCAGCAAAAAGUUUACUGAAUAUGAGGCAAAGUAUUCGUCCAUAGAUUACUGCAACGCUCUGGUUUGGGUAGCUCGGAGACUCAGACAAUAUAUGUUGUAUCAUACGACAUGGCUAAUUUCAAAGUUGGACCCAAUAAGGUACAUGAUGGAAUCACCUGCACUCUCAGGAAGAAUGGCACGAUGGCAGAUCUUACUAUCAGAAUAUGACAUCAUCUAUGUGAGCCAAAAGUCGAUAAAAGGGAGUGCAAUAGCUGACUUCUUAGCAACUCGAACAACGAAGGAAUAUGAGCCAUUGAAAUUUGAUUUCUCAGAUGAAGACUUAAUAUGCAUUACAGAAAAAGAAUGUGAGUCAUCAAAAGAAAAGUCAUGGGGAUGAGCUUUGACGGUGCAUCGAAUGCAUUGGGGCAUGGGAUUGGAGCAGUCUUAGUAUCACAAGAAGGGAACCAUUAUCCGUUCACUGCCAGGCUGAAUUUCUUCUGUACCAAUAACAUAGCAGAAUAUGAAGCUUGUAUCAUGGGACUUCGUGCAGCAAUUGAACAAAACAUCCAAACUUUAGAGGUAUACGGAGACUCAGCAUUAGUGAUUUAUCAGAUCCGUGGAGAUUGGGAAGUGAGGGAUUCAAAAUUAGUCAAAUACAGUGAUCUCGUGGCAGGGUUGAUUAAAGAAUUCAAAGAAAUAACUUUUAAUUACUUUCCACGAGAAGAAAACCAAUUAGCUGAUGCCCUGGCCACUUUGGCUUCAAUGUUUAAAGCAAACAGAGAAACAGAAAUAAUGCCUCUUCAAAUGAGUAUAUAUGAAGCCCCUACAUAUUGUUUCAGCAUUGAGAAAGAGCCAGAUGGGCAGCCAUGGUUCCAUGAUAUCUUAGAAUACAUCAAGAAUCAAAGGUAUCCCGAGCAAGCAAAUAUGAACGACAGAAGAACAAUCAGAAGAAUGGCAGCGGAUGGGGACAUCCUAUACAAAAGAGGAAAAGAUCAGGUGCUCUUGAGAUGCGUGGAUACAGUUGAAGCCAGAAAAAUACUUAAAGAUGUCCAUGAAGGAAUUUGCGGGACACAUGCCAAUGGUUUCACUAUGGCCAGGAAGAUUAUAAGACUCGAAUAUUACUGGCUGUCGAUAGAAAGCGACUGCAUUAAUUUCGCACGAAAAUGCCACAAAUGUCAAAUUUAUAGUGAUAAAAUUCAUGUAGCCCCUUUGCCCCUUCACGUCAUGACUUCUCCGUGGCCUUUUUCUAUGUGGGGCAUGGACGUUAUAGGGCCUAUUUCCCCAAAAGCUUCCAAUGGACACCGGUUCAUUUUUAUGGUCAUUGAUUACUUCACAAAAUGGAUAGAAGCUACAUCGCUUGCCAAUGUGACGAAGACUGCGGUUUGCAGGUUUUUGAAAAAGGAAAUCAUUUGUAAAUAUGGUUUUCCUAAAAGAAUCAUUUCAGAUAACGCCUUAAAUUUGAACAACAAGAUGAUGAAAGAAGUGUGUGAGCAAUUCCAAAUAAAGCAUCAUAACUCCUCGCCCUAUCGCACAAAGAUGAAUGGAGCGGCCAACAAGAAUAUUAAGAAGAUUAUUGGGAAAAUGAUUGAGACAUAUAAAGACUAGCACGAGAAGCUACCAUUUGCUUUGUAUGCAUAUCGCACAUCUGUACGGACAUCUACGGGGGCAACUCCUUUCUCUCUGGUCUAUGCAUUGGAAGCUGUGCUACCUAUCGAAGUUGAGAUCCCCUCUCUACGAGUCUUAAUGGAGUCGAAAUUAGAGGAAGUAGAAUGGGUUCGAGCUCGAUAUGACCAGUUAAACCUCAUCGAAGAAAAACGUCUAAAGGCAAUUUGUCAUGGAAAAAUGUACCAGAAGAGAAUGACCGCGGCUCAUGACAAGAAAAUACGGCCAAGAGAAUUCCAAGAAGGAGAACUCGUGCUGAGAAAGAUUCUCCCAAUACAAAGAGACCUGCGAGGAAAAUGGGCACCGAAUUGGGAAGGACCAUACGUCGUAAAGAAGGCAUUCUCGGGUGGAGCUUUGAUUCUCACCGAGAUGGAUGGGAAGGAGUUACCGAGUCCAGUGAACUCAGAUGCUGUAAAGAAAUAUUAUGCUUGAAAAAGGAAACCAAGAUAAAAACCCGAAAAGGGCGUCUUAAAAAAAAAGAGAGAGAAAAAAGGGAUCAAGGUGAAAACCCGAAAAGGGCGUCUUGAUUAAACACAAAAGAUUAGGAUGAAAACUCAAAAGGGCAUUCUAAUGAAGCAAACCCGGGCUUAAAGAACAAGGCGUUUUGAACGGUGGGUCAAAUAGUGAGACUACAGUAUUUGAAGCAUUUCUGAAAGCUCGAAAUCUUCUACGCAAGAAGCCAUGCUCGAAAAGAUUCUUGAUUGAGAAACGUGGAAAAUUUCAUGCAUUAAAUAUCUAGAGCAUUUGUAUUCGUUGAAUGCAAUCCCUUUUCUCUUUAUGACACUUUUUUACUAUUAUUGGUUAACUUUCUUUGUUUACUACAUUUGAAAUGAAUAAAUACGAGGUAUCCUUUUGUCCCUACCUGACCAUUUUUUUCAUGCAUCUCAUUAUGUGGUCCGUUUACAUGAUAAAUAGUGAAAUGACAUACUCUAAACAAAAGAAAUAUUAAGCAUUACCCGGGUAAGAAUUUGAUAAGUACAAGAGCCUCAACGCAAGGACAAAAACUCAACCAGGGGCAAAAGAGCGAUAUCUGGGAAAUAUAGAUUAUUCGUGAAGCUUGAGGACAGGUACAGAACCUGAAGAGAAAGUCAAGAGUUGAAACAAUGAACACAUAUCAUCAAAAAUUGUGACGAAAAAGGGAUAUAUGACAGACAUGCCUAAAGCUCAUAUCAUAAUCAUGUAGGCAUAAAUGCAUUUAAGACAAACAUGUGCAUAUCAUGAUGACAUCAUGCAUGACAUAUACAGGUACUCCAGUAGAGUAAAAGGAUGUGAUGAUAGCUGAAAAGACACAUGAAUUCCACCAGAUGACAUGUUUUGGUAUUCUGAUGUUUUAUUUCUGUUUUUCAAAAAUCAACUCAUAUUGCGAGAGGUGAGUUGAGCCUCAGGACAUGCUGAGGUAAUUUCAAUUUCUGUUUUCUUCAAUUUAUGUUUUUCAAAAAUCAGCUCAUAUUACGAGAGGUGAGUUGAGCCUCAGGGCACACUGAGGUAUUUUCAAUUUCUGCUUUUCAAUUUCUGCUUUUCAAAAAAAUCAACUCAUAUUGCGAGAGGUGAGUUGAGCCUCAGGACACACUGAGGUAAUUUCAAUUUAUGUUUGUCAAAAAAAAAUCAACUCAUAUUGCGAGAAGUGAGUUGAGCCUCAGGGCACACUGAGGUAUUUUCGAUUUCUGCUUUCCAAUUUCUGCUCUUCAAAAAAAUCAACUCAUAUUGUGAGAGGUGAGUUGAGCCUCAGGACACGCUGAGGUAAUUUCAAUUUCUGUUUGUCAAAAAUCAACUCAUAUCGCGAGAGGUGAGUUGAGCCUCGGCUCACAUGCUGAGGUCUUUUCAAUUUCUAUUUUUCAAUUUCUGUUCGUCAAAAUCAACUCAUAUUGCGAGAGGUGAGUUGAGCCUCGAGGCACGCUGAGGUAUUUUCAAUUAAUGUUUUUUCAAUUUAUGCUUUUCAAAAAUCAACUCAUAUUACGAGAGGUGAGUUGAGCCUCGGGUCACAUGCCAAGGUAUUUCCAAAAUCUGUUUGGCAAAUUCUGUUUUCAAAAAUCAACUCAUAUUGCGAGAAGUGAGUUGAGCCUUUGCUCACGUGCUGAGCUAUUUUUCAAUUUCUGUUUUUAAUGUCUAGUUUUUAAAAGUCAAUUCAUAUUGCGAGAAAUGAGUUGAGCUCAGGAUCACACACUGAGUAAAGAACAAAGAUUGGAGCCGAUUGAAGGCACCAGAUUUUGUCUCCCUGAAGUUGUAGUGGAGCUGGUCGAGGAUAUCAGAUCUUGCCUUUCAGAAGUGGCAGAAGAGAAGACCAAAACCUUAUCUCACGGAAGCAAUAGAAGAGAAGAUUGAAGUUGUAGAUCUUAUCCUUCUGAAGUUACAGUGAAGCAGAUGGAAGCCACAAAUCUCAUAUCCUUGAAACUACAUUGAAGUAGAUUGAAGCUACAAGGCCCAUAUCAGAAGAUACAAUGAACUGAACCAAAGCUACAAGAUGCGAUGGACUAGUAAGAGACUGCCCGGAAAAGAAGAGCGCCAAAGAAGUCAACAAUUGGCAAGACCGGGCGAAAUUGGCCUUUCAUUAUGUCUUUGCUCUAUUCCCGUUACACGAUAAUGAGCAAAGAGGGGCAGCUGUUGUAGGCCAAUUUUGGCCCAAAUACAACCAAAUACCCACCCCAAUUUCAUCAGCCCAACAUCAUCAAACCCAAUCUAAACCAACAGCCCACCUAAACUAACCUACUAAACAUUUUCCAGCAAAGAAAAAAACCUUAGCCACCUCCCCACUUUCCUCUGACACCAGCCACCAUCACCUGCUCCACCAGUCACCCCCAUAUCCUGCAAAAACAGAGCAAACAAGCAAGACGGGAAAAUAUGGCAAAAGUAAUAAAAAAACUUGUAAAAGAUUGCUAUAAAAAGCCAUUCAAAAAUGUUGUAAAAAGGGGGGUUUAUUUUUUUUAAAAGAAAGAUUGUAACACAGAUAUUGGAAAUAAAAACGGAUACGAAAACAAAAAAGAGAAUGAAGGUUCAAGAGGUUUAGUUUUGUUCUUUUCUUUUCCUUUUUUCUUCUUUUUGUUCUCUGCUUACCUUGUUUUUUUCAUAUUUAUUCAUUGUUUUUUUUUCCUUUUCUUUUUUCAAGAAAACCUUUUUUUAACAAAGAAACAUAAAAAAUUUUAAAGUAGGCGUACCUAGGUUGCGCUCCUUCACUGUCGUCGUUGGCGGUAGGGCGAGUCUCUAAGGAACCCAAUCGACAGAAAGAAAAAAGGGGGAGGGGAAGAGAGCAUGGAAGUUUUUUUUUGUUUUUUUAAGAUUGGGGGUUGAAAAU
Molecule: long non-coding RNA, 15453 nt
Filed under: Gossypium barbadense (sea-island cotton)
Lineage: Eukaryota; Viridiplantae; Streptophyta; Magnoliopsida; Malvales; Malvaceae
Description: long non-coding RNA (GBAR_LNC011001)
Source: RNAcentral